RNAcentral lists this ribosomal RNA (468 nucleotides) under uncultured bacterium. RNAcentral's name for it is "partial 16S ribosomal RNA". It matches the Rfam family "Bacterial small subunit ribosomal RNA", at positions 28 to 507 of the family's 1533-position model. The record is from RNAcentral.
GACGAACGCUGGCGGCGUGCUUAACACAUGCAAGUCGAACGGAAAGGCCCGGCUUUUUUGUUCUGCUCGAGUUGCUGACGGAUGGGUAACAAGUGAGUAACCUACCCUUGACUUUGGGAUAACUUCAAGAAACUAGCGCUAGUACCUGAUAGGAACUCCUGCUGCAUGGUGUGGGUGGGAGAGGUUCGGCGGUUGGGGAUGGACUCGCGGCUUAGCAGCUGGUUGGUGGGGUUGUGGCGUACGAAGGCUUUGACGGGUAGCCGGACUGAGAGGGUGACAGGCCACAUUGGGACUGAGAUACGAGCAAGACGCAUACGGGAGGAAGGAGUGGGGAUCAUUGCACGCUGGGCGGAAGCAUGAUGGAGGAACGCCGCGUGGGGGAUGACGGCCUUCGGGUUGGAAACGGCUUUUGCCUGUGAGGAAGAGUGAGUGACGGUACUGGGUAAAGAAGCACCGGCUAACUACGUG